AACGAAGCUUGACGGAUGAUUUCUUCGGAAUGAAACCUGAUAUGACUUAGUGGCGGACGGGUGAGUAACACGUGAGCAACCUGCCUUUCAGAGGGGGAUAACGGCUGGAAACGGUCGCUAAUACCGCAUGACGUGUUCGGAUGGCAUCAUCUGAACAUCAAAGAUUUAUCGCUGAAAGAUGGGCUCGCGUCUGAUUAGAUAGUUGGUGGGGUAACGGCCUACCAAGUCUACGAUCAGUAGCCGGACUGAGAGGUUGAACGGCCACAUUGGGACUGAGAUACGGCCCAGACUCCUACGGGAGGCAGCAGUGGGGAAUAUUGCACAAUGGGGGAAACCCUGAUGCAGCAACGCCGCGUGAAGGAUGACGGUUUUCGGAUUGUAAACUUCUUUUCUUAGUGACGAAGACAGUGACGGUAGCUAAGGAAUAAGCAUCGGCUAACUACGUGCCAGCAGCCGCGGUAAUACGUAGGAUGCAAGCGUUAUCCGGAUUUACUGGGUGUAAAGGGAGCGCAGGCGGGACUGCAAGUUGGAUGUGAAAUACCGUGGCUUAACCACGGAACUGCAUCCAAAACUGUAGUUCUUGAGUGAAGUAGAGGCAAGCGGAAUUCCGAGUGUAGCGGUGAAAUGCGUAGAUAUUCGGAGGAACACCAGUGGCGAAGGCGGCUUGCUGGGCUUUAACUGACGCUGAGGCUCGAAA
RNAcentral lists this ribosomal RNA (697 nucleotides) under uncultured Lachnospiraceae bacterium. RNAcentral describes it as "bacterial SSU rRNA". It matches the Rfam family "Bacterial small subunit ribosomal RNA", at positions 59 to 758 of the family's 1533-position model. Lineage: Bacteria; Bacillati; Bacillota; Clostridia; Lachnospirales; Lachnospiraceae. The record is from RNAcentral.